Molecule: ribosomal RNA, 253 nt
Filed under: uncultured bacterium
Lineage: Bacteria
Description: partial 16S ribosomal RNA
Rfam family: Bacterial small subunit ribosomal RNA
Source: RNAcentral
UACGUAGGGUGCGAGCGUUGUCCGGAAUUAUUGGGCGUAAAGAGCUCGUAGGCGGUCUGUCGCGUCGAUCGUGAAAACUCAGGGCUUAACCCUGAGCCUGCUUCCGAUACGGGCAGACUAGAGGUAUGCAGGGGAGAACGGAAUUCCUGGUGUAGCGGUGAAAUGCGCAGAUAUCAGGAGGAACACCGGUGGCGAAGGCGGUUCUCUGGGCAUUACCUGACGCUGAGGAGCGAAAGUGUGGGGAGCGAACAGG